This 203-nucleotide ribosomal RNA is filed under the name uncultured bacterium. RNAcentral describes it as "partial 16S ribosomal RNA". It matches the Rfam family "Bacterial small subunit ribosomal RNA", at positions 335 to 541 of the family's 1533-position model. The record is from RNAcentral.
ACUCCUACGGGAGGCAGCAGUGGGGAAUAUUGCGCAAUGGACGAAAGUCUGACGCAGCAACGCCGCGUGGGUGAAGAAGGCCUUCGGGUCGUAAAGCCCUGUCAGGUGGGAAGAAACCUGCGAAUAGCAGCUGACGGUACCACCAAAGGAAGCACCGGCUAACUCCGUGCCAGCAGCCGCGGUAAUACGGAGGGUGCAAGCGU